GACGAACGCUGGCGGCGUGCCUAAUACAUGCAAGUAGAACGCACAGUUUAUACCGUAGCUUGCUCCACCAUAAACUGUGAGUUGCGAACGGGUGAGUAACGCGUAGGUAACCUGCCUGGUAGCGGGGGAUAACUAUUGGAAACGAUAGCUAAUACCGCAUAAUAUUGAUUAUUGCAUGAUAAUUGAUUGAAAGAUGCUAUUGCAUCACUACCAGAUGGACCUGCGUUGUAUUAGCUAGUAGGUGAGGUAACGGCUCACCUAGGCGACGAUACAUAGCCGACCUGAGAGGGUGAUCGGCCACACUGGGACUGAGACACGGCCCAGACUCCUACGGGAGGCAGCAGGAGGGAAUCUUCGGCAAUGGACGAAAGUCUGACCGAGCAACGCCGCGUGAGUGAAGAAGGUUUUCGGAUCGUAAAGCUCUGUUGUAAGAGAAGAACGGGUGUGAGAGUGGAAAGUUCACAAUGUGACGGUAUCUUACCAGAAAGGGACGGCUAACUACGUG
Molecule: ribosomal RNA, 505 nt
Filed under: uncultured bacterium
Lineage: Bacteria
Description: partial 16S ribosomal RNA
Rfam family: Bacterial small subunit ribosomal RNA
Source: RNAcentral